Passer domesticus (house sparrow) is the source of this 558-nucleotide long non-coding RNA. RefSeq lists it as uncharacterized. NCBI's taxonomy places the organism in Eukaryota, Metazoa, Chordata, Aves, Passeriformes, Passeridae. The record is from RefSeq and is a predicted model, not a curated record. The transcript is spliced from 3 exons.
UGGAGCCAGGACAGGACGGGACAGAGCGGUGCUGUGAGGAGCCCCCGCACAGCGCACUCGUUCCUGUCUGACCCGGAGUUUUUCUGAGGUGUUGUUCCUGCAGCUGACCUCGAGGCCAGACUGUGGGACUUGCUGACCUGAGUCAUUUACCAGGAAUCUCCUGUCAUUGUGGCAGGAGCCCCCAAGACCAGAGUGCAGGACUUGCUGUCCUGCAGCUAUCCUGAGACCUCUCUGUCUCAGAAAACUUCAAGGCACAACUGAAAUUGCUGACUUGGCAAUAUCCUGAGGCAUCUCUCUAGAAGGUGCCUUCAAGGCUGGAAGGUAGAAUGGCAGGCAGAUUUUUCAGCCUGUUCAAAUGCUUCCGGGGGAAAACUAAGAAAGGCCCUGGAGCUGCUUCAGGAGAGCAGCCUGAAGAGCCAGAGCAGAUCCAGACACUGCAGGAUGAUGCAGCCGUGGAGCGCACACAAGAGCAGCAAUCCAGCCGUGGCCGCUUCCGCAGAACAGCGCAGAUGUUCCAAAAAUUCCCGUGCAUUCGCCGUAGAGAGACCAACACCACAG